This 642-nucleotide long non-coding RNA is filed under the name Equus caballus (horse). RNAcentral describes it as "lncRNA (ENSECAG00000049802.1)". The record is from RNAcentral. Lineage: Eukaryota; Metazoa; Chordata; Mammalia; Perissodactyla; Equidae.
GAUGCAAGAUAAAGAGGCCUCCAAGUGAGACUGAGGCUGCUUGGGACAGGUCUUCUCAACUCUGACGGCAACAGUGCAGAGCAAAAACACAAUCAACACUUUUGGGUAUCCUGGAGGGGCGUCUGUCUGACAGAUGUGCCAGAGUGUGAUCACUUUUCAAAAGGCCCUGACAUUUCACCACCCAGUAUCUGCAUCACUAAAGACAGGCCCUGGAGCCUUUGGGGCGGUGGCCCUCAGUGCAGGCCGACAGCUUGGUGUGUCCUGCAGGAGUUUGUGACGCCUGGUCUACCACCCCUCUCUGACUCUCUCUGCAUCCUGAGGGCUGUGUUUCAAGAGAAAUUCAAGGCACCCGCCCAUGACUUCACAGCGCUCUUUCCUGGCUCUGCCCUAUCGGUCCUCUCCUGAUGGACCCUCCAGGCUCUGCUCCUGGUCCCUGCAGGGGGUCCCCGCCUCUCAUCUCUGAACUUCCAGAGAUUCCGACUUAGAAGGAUCUCUGGGGGAGUCUCAAGGGAGGACAAGAGAAUCACCCAGUCCAGACCCCUCCACGUUGGAGAAAACCCUCCAAGGCAAGUGAUGAAUUGAAGGUUUGGACAGGCCCAUUGGGACGCUCACCAAUUUCUGCAGGAAUUGAGGCCCUGCUGG